RNAcentral lists this transfer RNA (73 nucleotides) under bacterium. Its description in RNAcentral is "tRNA-Arg". It matches the Rfam family "tRNA". From Rfam's summary of the family: Transfer RNA (tRNA) molecules are approximately 80 nucleotides in length. RNAcentral also lists the same sequence under 2 other names. The record is from RNAcentral.
GCUCUCGUAGUUCAGUUGGAUAGAACGACUCUCUCCUAAGGAGUAAACACAGGUUCGACUCCUGUCGGGGGUA